RNAcentral lists this ribosomal RNA (207 nucleotides) under uncultured bacterium. Its description in RNAcentral is "partial 16S ribosomal RNA". It matches the Rfam family "Bacterial small subunit ribosomal RNA", at positions 568 to 774 of the family's 1533-position model. The record is from RNAcentral.
CGCGUAGGCGGUUUGUUAAGUCGGAUGUGAAAGCCCCGGGCUCAACCUGGGAAUUGCAUCCGAUACUGGCCGACUGGAGUGCGAGAGAGGGAGGUAGAAUUCCACGUGUAGCGGUGAAAUGCGUAGAUAUGUGGAGGAAUACCGGUGGCGAAGGCGGCCUCCUGGCUCGACACUGACGCUGAGGUGCGAAAGCGUGGGGAGCAAACA